GGUUAAGUCAGGCAACGAGCGAGACCCGUGCCCACAGUUGCCAGCAUACCCUCCGGGGUGAUGGGCACACUGUGGGGACCGCCGCUGCUAAAGCGGAGGAAGGUGCGGGCUACGGUAGGUCAGUAUGCCCCGAAUCAUCCGGGCUACACGCGGGCUACAAUGGUUGGGACAAUGAGCACCUACACCGAGAGGUGAUGGUAAUCUCCUAAACCCAGCCUUAGUUCGGAUUGAGGGCUGCAACUCGCCCUCAUGAAGCCGGAAUCCGUAGUAAUCGCGUUUCAACAUAGCGCGGUGAAUACGUCCCUGCUCCUUGCACA
Molecule: ribosomal RNA, 317 nt
Filed under: uncultured archaeon
Lineage: Archaea
Description: bacterial SSU rRNA
Rfam family: Archaeal small subunit ribosomal RNA
Source: RNAcentral